RNAcentral lists this ribosomal RNA (549 nucleotides) under uncultured bacterium. RNAcentral describes it as "bacterial SSU rRNA". It matches the Rfam family "Bacterial small subunit ribosomal RNA", at positions 355 to 896 of the family's 1533-position model. The record is from RNAcentral.
UGGGGAAUAUUGCACAAUGGGCGCAAGCCUGAUGCAGCCAUGCCGCGUGUGUGAAGAAGGCCUUAGGGUUGUAAAGCACUUUCAGCGAGGAGGAAAGGUGAUUAGUUAAUACCUGAUUACUGUGACGUUACUCGCAAAAGAAGCACCGGCUAACUCCGUGCCAGCAGCCGCGGUAAUACGGAGGGUGCGAGCGUUAAUCGGAAUUACUGGGCGUAAAGCGUGCGUAGGCGGCUACUUAAGUUGGAUGUGAAAGCCCCGGGCUUAACCUGGGAACUGCGUCCAAAACUGGGUGGCUAGAGUGCGAGAGAGGAGUGUGGAAUUUCCUGUGUAGCGGUGAAAUGCGUAGAUAUAGGAAGGAACACCAGUGGCGAAGGCGACACUCUGGCUUGACACUGACGCUGAGGUACGAAAGCGUGGGGAGCAAACAGGAUUAGAUACCCUGGUAGUCCACGCCGUAAACGAUGUCUACUAAUUGUCCGUUGUCUUGUACGAUGGGUAAUGCAGCUAACGCGAUAAGUAGACCGCCUGGGGAGUACGCCCGCAAGGUUA